CCUACGGGCGGCUGCAGUGAGGAAUAUUGGUCAAUGGGCGCUAGCCUGAACCAGCCAAGUAGCGUGAAGGAUGACUGCCCUAUGGGUUGUAAACUUCUUUUAUAUGGGAAUAAAGUGCAGUAUGUAUACUGCUUUGCAUGUACCUUAUGAAUAAGGAUCGGCUAACUCCGUGCCAGCAGCCGCGGUAAUACGGAGGAUUCGAGCGUUAUCCGGAUUUAUUGGGUUUAAAGGGAGCGUAGGCGGGUUGUUAAGUCAGUUGUGAAAGUUUGCGGCUCAACCGUAAAAUUGCAGUUGAUACUGGCAGCCUUGAGUACAGUAGAGGUAGGCGGAAUUCGUGGUGUAGCGGUGAAAUGCUUAGAUAUCACGAAGAACUCCGAUUGCGAAGGCAGCCUGCUGGACUGUAACUGACGCUGAUGCUCGAAAGUGUGGGUAUCAAACAGGAUUAGAUAUCCCAGUAGUC
This 460-nucleotide ribosomal RNA is filed under the name uncultured bacterium. Its description in RNAcentral is "partial 16S ribosomal RNA". It matches the Rfam family "Bacterial small subunit ribosomal RNA", at positions 338 to 795 of the family's 1533-position model. The record is from RNAcentral.